This is a long non-coding RNA of Bubalus bubalis (water buffalo), 385 nucleotides long. RefSeq lists it as uncharacterized. The transcript has 2 exons. The record is from RefSeq and is a predicted model, not a curated record. NCBI's taxonomy places the organism in Eukaryota, Metazoa, Chordata, Mammalia, Artiodactyla, Bovidae.
CAGACACAGUGCUUACUCAGUAGCUGGCUCAUGAAGAGCUGGAAGAACGAGCUUCCUGCCAAGAAGGAGGGGAGAAAGCCAGUCUCCAAGCAGCACCUGAGGGGAAGGGAGGAGGAGGAGGUGAAGACAGGCACACAAGGAGGAUGCCAUGUGAAGAUGAAGGCAGAGAUGGAAGUGACACUUCUAUAAGCCGAAGACUGGCAGAAAACCACAGGAGCAGAGGCAAUGCCUGUGACGGACAUCUCUCACGGCACUCACCAGGAACCCACCCGAUGGACACCCUGCUACCGGACGUCUGCCCUCCAGGACUGUGAGACAAUGCAUUUCUGUUGUUUAAGCCACCUAGUUUGUGGUACUUUUUAAAAAAUUAAACUAUAAUUGAUGU